This 522-nucleotide long non-coding RNA is filed under the name Medicago truncatula (barrel medic). Its description in RNAcentral is "long non-coding RNA (MTRU_LNC001257)". Lineage: Eukaryota; Viridiplantae; Streptophyta; Magnoliopsida; Fabales; Fabaceae. The record is from RNAcentral.
UUUUGUCCCAGAAAUUAAAAUGAGCACAUGAAAAACAAGAGAUCAAAUCCUGCAAAAUCUAAUAAUCUUCAUCUCCAUCAACAUCAUCUCCAUCACCAGACUCAGCACCAACCUCCUCAUAAUCCUUCUCAAGAGCAGCGAGAUCUUCACGAGCCUCUGAGAACUCACCUUCUUCCAUACCCUCACCAACAUACCAAUGCACAAAAGCACGCUUAGCAUACAUAAGAUCAAACUUAUGAUCAAUCCUGGAAAACACCUCAGCAACACUGGUAGAGUUAGAGAUCAUGCACACGGCCCUCUGCACCUUGGCAAGAUCACCACCAGGAACAACAGUAGGAGGCUGGUAAUUGAUACCACACUUGAACCCAGUUGGACACCAAUCAACAAACUGAAUGGUCCUCUUGGUCUUGAUGGUUGCAACAGCAGCAUUCACAUCCUUAGGUACAACAUCACCACGGUACAUCAAACAACAAGCCAUGUAUUUUCCAUGGCGAGGGUCACACUUAGCCAUCAUGGAAGAAG